GGGGUUGAAAAUGUGGACAUUGCAAGGUGCAUGUUUACGAUUCGAGGUACUGGACGUGGCAGUUUCAUUGCUGGGAAAAGUGUUCAUAACCAGAGAAUUGAACGCCUAUGGAGAGAUGUUUGGAGUGUGACUUCAAAAUAUUACAACAUGCUCUACAGUUUGGAGGAAGAGGGUCUCAUUGACCUGUCGAACGCGGUCCAUCUGUUCUGUGUGGGCUAUGUCUUUAUACCACGACUACGAGAAGAUCUGCAGGUUUUCGAGGAGAGUUGGAAUUCUCAUCCCUUGAGGACAGAAACCUAACACCCAAUCAAUUGUGGAUGAUCGGUAUGCUGAAGGAACCAGUGUCAGAACCAGAUCUGACAGAGAUUCAGCAUGCUGAGGAGCUGCUGUCCCAAGAACAGCAAAGUGAAGAAGUUGAACAUGGGGUCAAUGUGCCUGUUCUUCAGUCCGCUGUCAGCUGAAAAAGUGCAUGCACUUCAACAAUUAAACCCUUU
Girardinichthys multiradiatus is the source of this 494-nucleotide long non-coding RNA. RefSeq lists it as uncharacterized. The record is from RefSeq and is a predicted model, not a curated record. NCBI's taxonomy places the organism in Eukaryota, Metazoa, Chordata, Actinopteri, Cyprinodontiformes, Goodeidae. The transcript has 3 exons.